Molecule: ribosomal RNA, 484 nt
Filed under: uncultured bacterium
Lineage: Bacteria
Description: partial 16S ribosomal RNA
Rfam family: Bacterial small subunit ribosomal RNA
Source: RNAcentral
AUUGAACGCUGGCGGCAGGCCUAACACAUGCAAGUCGAGCGGAUGAAGGGAGCUUGCUCCUGGAUUCAGCGGCGGACGGGUGAGUAAUGCCUAGGAAUCUGCCUGGUAGUGGGGGAUAACGUCCGGACACGGGCGCUAAUACCGCAUACGUCCUGAGGGAGAAAGUGGGGGAUCUUCGGACCUCACGCUAUCAGAUGAGCCUAGGUCGGAUUAGCUAGUUGGUGGGGUAAAGGCCUACCAAGGCGACGAUCCGUAACUGGUCUGAGAGGAUGAUCAGUCACACUGGAACUGAGACACGGUCCAGACUCCUACGGGAGGCAGCAGUGGGGAAUAUUGGACAAUGGGCGAAAGCCUGAUCCAGCCAUGCCGCGUGUGUGAAGAAGGUCUUCGGAUUGUAAAGCACUUUAAGUUGGGAGGAAGGAAAGUAAGUUAAUACCUUGCUGUUUUGACGUUACCAACAGAAUAAGCACCGGCUAACUUCGUG